GCAGAAAAUCUUAAGCUUGAUAAUGGGCA
RNAcentral lists this non-coding RNA (29 nucleotides) under Mus musculus (house mouse). Lineage: Eukaryota; Metazoa; Chordata; Mammalia; Rodentia; Muridae. The record is from RNAcentral.